RNAcentral lists this ribosomal RNA (1374 nucleotides) under uncultured bacterium. Its description in RNAcentral is "bacterial SSU rRNA". It matches the Rfam family "Bacterial small subunit ribosomal RNA". The record is from RNAcentral.
AGAGUUUGAUCCUGGCUCAGGAUGAACGCUGGCGGCGUGCCUAACACAUGCAAGUCGAACGGACUUUAAUGAAACCUGGUGAUUUAAAGUUAGUGGCGGACGGGUGAGUAACGCGUGGGUAACCUGCCUCACACUGGGGGAUAACAGUUAGAAAUGACUGCUAAUACCGCAUAAGCGCACGAAACCGCAUGGUUUUGUGUGAAAAACUCCGGUGGUGUGAGAUGGACCCGCGUCUGAUUAGCUGGUUGGCGGGGUAACGGCCCACCAAGGCAACGAUCAGUAGCCGGCCUGAGAGGGUGAACGGCCACAUUGGGACUGAGACACGGCCCAAACUCCUACGGGAGGCAGCAGUGGGGAAUAUUGCACAAUGGGGGAAACCCUGAUGCAGCAACGCCGCGUGAGUGAAGAAGUAUUUCGGUAUGUAAAGCUCUAUCAGCAGGGAAGAAAAUGACGGUACCUGACUAAGAAGCUCCGGCUAAAUACGUGCCAGCAGCCGCGGUAAUACGUAUGGAGCAAGCGUUAUCCGGAUUUACUGGGUGUAAAGGGAGCGUAGACGGUUUGGCAAGUCUGAAGUGAAAACCCAGGGCUCAACCCUGGGACUGCUUUGGAAACUGUCGGACUAGAGUGCAGGAGAGGUAAGUGGAAUUCCUAGUGUAGCGGUGAAAUGCGUAGAUAUUAGGAGGAACACCAGUGGCGAAGGCGGCUUACUGGACUGUAACUGACGUUGAGGCUCGAAAGCGUGGGGAGCAAACAGGAUUAGAUACCCUGGUAGUCCACGCCGUAAACGAUGAUUACUAGGUGUCGGGAACCUAUAGGUUUUCGGUGCCGCAGCAAACGCAAUAAGUAAUCCACCUGGGGAGUACGUUCGCAAGAAUGAAACUCAAAGGAAUUGACGGGGACCCGCACAAGCGGUGGAGCAUGUGGCUUAAUUCGAAGCAACGCGAAGAACCUUACCUGGUCUUGACAUCCCGAUGCCCGCUCUGUAAUGAGAGCUUUUCUUCGGAACAUUGGAGACAGGUGGUGCAUGGUUGUCGUCAGCUCGUGUCGUGAGAUGUUGGGUUAAGUCCCGCAACGAGCGCAACCCUUACCUUUAGUAGCCAGCAAUUAAGAUGGGCACUCUAGAGGGACUGCCGGGGAUAACCCGGAGGAAGGUGGGGAUGACGUCAAAUCAUCAUGCCCCUUAUGACCAGGGCUACACACGUGCUACAAUGGCGUAAACAAAGGGAAGCGACCCUGUGAAGGUGAGCAAAUCUCAAAAAUAACGUCUCAGUUCGGAUUGUAGUCUGCAACUCGACUACAUGAAGCUGGAAUCGCUAGUAAUCGCAGAUCAGAAUGCUGCGGUGAAUACGUUCCCGGGUCUUGCACUCACCGCCC